UACGGAGGGGGCAAGCGUUGUUCGGAAUUACUGGGCGUAAAGGGCGCGCAGGCGGCUGCUCAAGUCAGGCGUGAAAGGCCUGGGCUCAACCCGGGAAUUGCGCUUGAGGCUGGGCUGGCUUGAGUGCGGGAGAGGAUGGUGGAAUUCCCAGUGUAGAGGUGAAAUUCGUAGAUAUCGGGAAGAACACCGGUGGCGAAGGCGGCCAUCUGGACCGCAACUGACGCUGAGGCGCGAAAGCGUGGGGAGCAAACAGG
Molecule: ribosomal RNA, 254 nt
Filed under: uncultured bacterium
Lineage: Bacteria
Description: partial 16S ribosomal RNA
Rfam family: Bacterial small subunit ribosomal RNA
Source: RNAcentral